AGGACGAACGCUGGCGGCGUGCCUAACACAUGCAAGUCGAACGAGGUUAAUCCCCGGUAGCAAUACUGGUGACUGCCUAGUGGCGAACGGGUGAGUAGCACGUGAGCAACCUGCCCCGAAGACCGGGACAACACCGGGAAACCGGUGCUAAUACCGGAUACCCCCACCUAAUCGCAUGAUCUGGUGAGGAAAUGGAUUCCGCUUCGGGAGGGGCUCGCGGCCUAUCAGCUAGUUGGUGAGGUAACGGCUCACCAAGGCUUCGACGGGUAGCUGGUCUGAGAGGACGAUCAGCCACACUGGAACUGAAACACGGUCCAGACUCCUACGGGAGGCAGCAGUGGGGAAUUUUGCGCAAUGGGGAAACCCUGACGCAGCAACGCCGCGUGGAGGAUGAAGUCCCUUGGGACGUAAACUCCUUUCGAUCGGGACGAUAAUGACGGUACCGAGAGAAGAAGCCCGGCUAACUUCGUGCCAGCAGCCGC
This 482-nucleotide ribosomal RNA is filed under the name uncultured bacterium. RNAcentral describes it as "SSU rRNA". It matches the Rfam family "Bacterial small subunit ribosomal RNA", at positions 26 to 518 of the family's 1533-position model. The record is from RNAcentral.